AUUUUUAGUGGUGAAGUUGUCCCUCAAAAAGCUCAUUGCACUUCUCUGUGUCUCAAGGGUACAUGCAAAGUGGAGUAAAGGGUUUGGAUCUCUAAUGUUCUACUAUGCAUGAAGAAAAAGCUCAAAGGAGUGUGAAGCAGCUGAGACAAUGGAUUUCUUUAUGAGAAGUUUUAUCUGAAGAGUUUUAAGUUCACCAUCUUUCCUCAAUGUCCAGUUCGAGUCUGCUAUGAGAUAUUUCUUGUAUAAGAACAUUAAGUAAAGUAUUUGCCUUCUUAAAAGGAAUCAAGAUAAAGGAAUGAAUUUUUCCCCCUCAUUUCAUCUCUUUUCUCAUAUCUUUGGACUUAUUUCCAUGCCUGGAGAAGGAUGGGGUUGAACCUCCAUAGGGAUUCUGUUAGGAAAGUGGCUGCCAGAGUUGGUUGAGGGUUCAGAGAAAACUCAGAGGACAGGCAGUGUAAGCUGGACUACUCCCAGGAAACAGCUGGUGGCAGAGCAGCAUUCUCAGAGACCUCAAGGGCUCCCAAACUUCUCAUGCCCCAAAGUGGGGACAGGAAAUAGGAUGUGAAAUGUAUAUUCCUUUUGCUGCUUUGGGUCAAAGCAGCAGCAGCGGCCAGGCCCAACCCAGCCCCGCCCUCCAGGGGACUGUAGCCUGUAUUCCCAGCAGGAAUCCAAGCCAAGGAACCUAAAGUCUCUCCGCUCCGGGAGCCGUGGUGCCUCGUUUAUUCCCGAAGGAUAGUGUUUUUAUGCGUUCUGAAAAGAUCAACAUUCACAGUUUUUCUUACCUGGGGUAGGGGAUUGGGUUUGGGGAGGGGGAUG
Molecule: non-coding RNA, 813 nt
Organism: Phascolarctos cinereus (koala)
Lineage: Eukaryota; Metazoa; Chordata; Mammalia; Diprotodontia; Phascolarctidae
Source: RefSeq, a predicted model, not a curated record